Long non-coding RNA from Lontra canadensis (Northern American river otter), 675 nucleotides. RefSeq lists it as uncharacterized. The record is from RefSeq and is a predicted model, not a curated record. The transcript is spliced from 6 exons. NCBI's taxonomy places the organism in Eukaryota, Metazoa, Chordata, Mammalia, Carnivora, Mustelidae.
GAAGCAGAAUUUCCCUCAGUGCCUAGUACCUAUCAGCUAAGCAGAGUAAUAAGGUUACACAAGUCAUUUGGUUAUGAACUCCACAUAAGUCCACCUGAUCACUAGAGAACAAACAAGUAAGUCUCAUCACUUGCCGAGCAGGAAAACUACAACUGUCUCUUACCUUUCUGGAGUUACACAGGCACCAACGGGCAGUGAAGGUCAAGAAAAAACAGAAAGCGAAGAGAGGAUGAAAUGUAGAUCAAGAAAGCCAAGCAUCCAGGAAAUAACCCUUGGGAUUUGCAUAUGUAAUGGAUGGAGUUAAAUAGGUAACCGGUCUCAAAGAGGGAAAGGGAAAAAACCAGGAAUAGCUUCUGCUGAAUAUUUUAGCUGAUGUUAUCUCAUUCAUGUGGCAGACCAGUAACAGGAAAAUAAAUGACUCUCAUCCUUUUGGAAUGAAAUAGCUGUAGUAAGUUGUGACCUCAGCAGCUUCCUCCUCUUCCUCAGGCCCAGCCUUUGCUUCUCUCUGUCUCUGGCUAUUGCUCCCUAUUUCAGCCAUCUGGACAUUUUGUGAAAUCAGUGGGGAGGGAAAUGUAUUGAAGAAAAAAGUCUCCAAAGAUUCUUGCAUUUAUUAAAGGGACAUUUAAAGGAUGUCAAAGGAUGAUGAGACCAUCAUACAGUAUCCAAUAUAAAAAG